Non-coding RNA from Punica granatum (pomegranate), 714 nucleotides. Lineage: Eukaryota; Viridiplantae; Streptophyta; Magnoliopsida; Myrtales; Lythraceae. The record is from RefSeq and is a predicted model, not a curated record.
CAGGAUUAAAGGACUGGUGGCUGCUGGAAGGAGCUAUAGCAGUAGUGCUUCUCUCCGUAAAGCUUGCCAAUUCCUGCUGUCCAAACAGGUCGCUCUCUGGUGGAUGGUCUCCGUAAUGUGCUCGUCGAAAGUACUUCAAAGUGUAAUCAAAUCUCGAGGGCAACAGGUCACAUAUAGUAAAUAGCUGCACGGGCAAUGCUUGCUCUUAUCGACGCUGGACAGGAGAUCAUGGGAGUAUUCAAUAGGAACUGCAUGAUCACUGAUGCGGCCUACGGAGACAUUUUUUUCCGAUCUGGGCCUUGGGAGAGUACUGAAGAGGCAGCCCUUCCUUAUCCUUAUUUGGCCGACUGUAUCGUCAGUUUUGUUCCUCCUAAUUUGUAUUCUUAAAAUCAUGAGGCGCUCCAUCUGACAGUUCCUAGGGAAGAAAAGAGUGGCCGCGCCCAGGAAAGGUUCGGGGAGGGGAAGCUACUCUUGGUUGCAGACUAUGUUGCAUUAUGAUUCAGUGCUCUGAUAUGUUUGUAGGGGUUGCAGCAUUACUCGACAUUUUAUCAGUGAAGUUUCGGCUUCUAUGCAUCAGCAGUUCAGCACUAGUAGUAGCAGCUGCCGUAUUCAGAAUGUGACCUGUGAAAAUCAAUGUUUCCUUUUGUAGAACACUGUCAAAUUGUUCGUAUUCCUUGAUAUCACGUUCGGUCUCGGCUCUUGCUCGACCUUUGA